AUUGAACGCUAGCGGCAUGCCUUACACAUGCAAGUCGAACGGCAGCGCGGGAGCAAUCCUGGCGGCGAGUGGCGAACGGGUGAGUAAUACAUCGGAACGUACCCAUUAGUGGGGGAUAACGUAGCGAAAGCUACGCUAAUACCGCAUACGCACUAAGGUGGAAAGCGGGGGAUCGCAAGACCUCGCGCUAUUGGAGCGGCCGAUGGCAGAUUAGCUAGUUGGUGGGUAAAGGCCUACCAAGGCGACGAUCCGUAACUGGUCUGAGAGGAUGAUCAGUCACACUGGAACUGAGACACGGUCCAGACUCCUACGGGUGGCUG
Molecule: ribosomal RNA, 320 nt
Filed under: uncultured Pseudomonadota bacterium
Lineage: Bacteria; Pseudomonadati; Pseudomonadota
Description: bacterial SSU rRNA
Rfam family: Bacterial small subunit ribosomal RNA
Source: RNAcentral